UGGGGAAUAUUGCACAAUGGGCGCAAGCCUGAUGCAGCCAUGCCGCGUGUGUGAAGAAGGCCUUCGGGUUGUAAAGCACUUUCAGCGGGGAGGAAGGCGAUAAGGUUAAUAACCUUGUCGAUUGACGUUACCCGCAGAAGAAGCACCGGCUAACUCCGUGCCAGCAGCCGCGGUAAUACGGAGGGUGCAAGCGUUAAUCGGAUUUAUUGGGCGUAAAGCGAGCGCAGGCGGUUUCUUAAGUCUGAUGUGAAAGCCCCCGGCUCAACCGGGGAGGGUCAUUGGAAACUGGGAGACUUGAGUGCAGAAGAGGAGAGUGGAAUUCCAUGUGUAGCGGUGAAAUGCGUAGAUAUAUGGAGGAACACCAGUGGCGAAGGCGGCUCUCUGGUCUGUAACUGACGCUGAGGCUCGAAAGCGUGGGGAGCAAACAGG
Molecule: ribosomal RNA, 429 nt
Filed under: Chloroflexota bacterium
Lineage: Bacteria; Bacillati; Chloroflexota
Description: Chloroflexi bacterium partial 16S ribosomal RNA
Rfam family: Bacterial small subunit ribosomal RNA
Source: RNAcentral